Long non-coding RNA from Symphalangus syndactylus (siamang), 1102 nucleotides. RefSeq lists it as uncharacterized. Lineage: Eukaryota; Metazoa; Chordata; Mammalia; Primates; Hylobatidae. The record is from RefSeq and is a predicted model, not a curated record.
UCUUAGAAAUUCCUAAGGCUCAAUGCUGUGUGGAAGAUUCUAAGAAAGAAAAUAGUUUCCUAUCUUUCGGAUUCCCCUGAGAGGGUCCAAUCUGCAGAAAGUUCAUUGCAAUUUCCAUCAAGGACACUGAGAACAAGAGUCUUAUCCGGAUUGGAUCCUGGGAAUUGAGAAGCUUCAGCAGGGCUUCCGCUGGGACUAGGACCAGGAUGUGGACAGCCCCCCAACCUGGACCCUCUGGCCAGGGAGGGUGUCAAGGCCAUGUAACUCACUCUGCCCUUUGUCACAAUGACCUCCCCAUCCCACUUCACCACCAUUCCAGAUCACAAAGGCCUUUUGCCUGUGCCUUCUGCCCUGCUCCCUCCAGCCCCUGGGCCUUGGCCUGUGCUAGUCCAGUCCCUCCAGCACAGCAGCAGCAUGCAGUCCAGUUGGGGAGACAGACACCAGACAUCCAAACAGGCACAUACAUCCCGUGACAACUCGGGAGGCAUCAAGGACGACAACGAGUUUUCCAGGCCCAGACUACAGGGGUAAAGUGGCUUCAAACUAGCGAGGGAGAAAUGGGGUCUCUGAGCAUGGGGCAGUUGAGCUGAAAGAGAUCUCAGGGGACCAGAGCAAGGAAAAGUGUUCCAGGCAGAGGGAACAGCAUGUGUGAGGUCUCUGAGACAAAGACCUGGUCAUUUCAGAAUCCCAGUGGCCACUAAAAUAGAGGGAUUCUGACCUAAAAAGGAGGGAGAGAAGGCUGCUGGAAAGCAAAGGACUCUGUGUAAGAAUCAUAAUAGUGGGGGUGGAGCCAAGAUGGCCGAAUAGGAACAGCUCCAGUCUACAACUUCCAGCCUUAGUGAUGCAGAAGACAGGUGAUUUCUGCAUUUCCAACUGAGGUACUGGGUUCAUCUCACUGGGGGGUGUCAGAAAGUGGGUUCAGGACACUGGGUGCAGCACAUCGAGCACUAUCCCAAGCAGGGAGAGGCAUUGCCUCACCCAGGAAAUGCAAGGAGUCAGAGAAUUCCCUUUCCUAGUCAAAGAAAGGGGUGACAGAUGGCACCUGGAAAAUCAGGUCACUCUCACCCUAAUACUGCACUUUUCCAAUGGUCUUAGCAAAUGG